CCAAUAGCGUAUAUUAAAGUUGUUGCAGUUAAAAAGCUCGUAGUUGAAUUUCGGGAUUAGUAAGUUGGUCGUGCCUCUGGUAUGUACUGGCUUUACUGAUUCCUCCUUCUUGAAGAACUGUAAUGUCAUUAAUUUGGUGUUGCAGGGAAACAGGACUGUUACUUUGAAAAAAUUAGAGUGUUUAAAGCAGGCUAACGCUUGAAUACAUUAGCAUGGAAUAAUGAAAUAGGACGUUUGAUCCUAUUUUGUUGGUUUCUAGGAUUGACGUAAUGAUUAAUAGGGAUAGUUGGGGGCAUUAGUAUUCAAUUAUCAGAGGUGAAAUUCUUGGAUUUAUUGAAGACUAACUACUGCGAAAGCAUUUGCCAAGGAUGUUUUCAUUAAUCAAGAACGAAAGUUAGGGGAUCGAAGACGAUCAGAUACCGUCGUAGUCUUAACCAUAAACUAUGCCGACUAGGGAUCGGAUGAUGUUAAUUUUUUAAUGACUCAUUCGGCGCCUUACG
Molecule: ribosomal RNA, 500 nt
Filed under: uncultured Glomeromycotina
Lineage: Eukaryota; Fungi; Glomeromycota
Description: partial small subunit ribosomal RNA
Rfam family: Eukaryotic small subunit ribosomal RNA
Source: RNAcentral